AGUGAACGCUGGCGGUAGGCCUAACACAUGCAAGUCGAACGGCAGCACAGUAAGAGCUUGCUCUUACGGGUGGCGAGUGGCGGACGGGUGCGGAAUACAUCGGAAUCUACUUUUUCGUGGGGGCUAACGUAGGGAAACUUAUGCUAAUACCGCAUACGACCUACGGGUGAAAGCAGGGGAUCUUCGGACCUUGCGCGAUUGAAUGAGCCGAUGUCGGAUUAGCUAGUUGGCGGGGUAAAGGCCCACCAAGGCGACGAUCCGUAGCUGGUCUGAGAGGAUGAUCAGCCACACUGGAACUGAGACACGGUCCAGACUCCUACGGGAGGCAGCAGUGGGGAAUAUUGGACAAUGGGCGCAAGCCUGAUCCAGCCAUACCGCGUGGGUGAAGAAGGCCUUCGGGUUGUAAAGCCCUUUUGUUGGGAAAGAAAAGCAGCAGGUUAAUACCCCGCUGUUCUGACGGUACCCAAAGAAUAAGCAUCGGCUAACUUCGUG
Molecule: ribosomal RNA, 492 nt
Filed under: uncultured bacterium
Lineage: Bacteria
Description: partial 16S ribosomal RNA
Rfam family: Bacterial small subunit ribosomal RNA
Source: RNAcentral